RNAcentral lists this long non-coding RNA (199 nucleotides) under Elaeis guineensis (African oil palm). RNAcentral's name for it is "long non-coding RNA (EGUI_LNC077463)". Lineage: Eukaryota; Viridiplantae; Streptophyta; Magnoliopsida; Arecales; Arecaceae. The record is from RNAcentral.
AUAGCUCGCUUUAUAGGGUAUCUAGAAGAAUCUAUGGGAUACUACUACUUUCUACAAGACCAUAAUAUGAUUAUGAGUCAAAAUGUCGUAUUCUUAGAAAAAAUUGUUUAUCCAAGAUGAUAGCAGUGGAAGGUGAUUGCUGUCGUAGGUGGUCAAGAAUAAAAAUUAACUCAAACUAUAUAGAUAGGGUGAGUCGGGA